RNAcentral lists this ribosomal RNA (110 nucleotides) under uncultured eukaryote. RNAcentral describes it as "partial small subunit ribosomal RNA". The record is from RNAcentral.
UCGCACCUACCGAUUGAAUGGUCCGGUGAAGCCUCGGGAUUGUGACCAGUUUCCUUUAUUGGGACCUGACCGUGAGAACUUGUCUAAACCUUAUCAUCUAGAGGAAGGUG